ACAUCGCCUCUUGAAAAAAUAUAAGAGGUCCAGCCUGCCCAGUGACCUAGUUCAACGGCCGCGGUAUCCUAACCGUGCGAAGGUAGCGUAAUCACUUGUUCUUUAAAUGAGGACUAGUAUGAAUGGCAUCACGAGGGUUAAACUGUCUCCUUUUUCUAAUCAGUGAAACUAAUCUCCCCGUGAAGAAGCGGGGAUUAUUUUAUAAGACGAGAAGACCCUAUGGAGCUUAAAACAAACCUACAAUUGCUUUAAUAUGCUACCCUCCCGAGGACUCACAUAAAUUAUAGCAUAACUGAUAAUUAGUUUUCGAUUGGGGUGAUCAUGGAGAAAAAACCAACCUCCACGACGACAAGGGGAUACCCCUGAGCCAAAAGCCACAGCUUUCAGCACUAAAAAAUUAACGCACCUUGACCCAAUUAUUUGAGCAACGAACCAAGUUACCCUAGGGAUA
Molecule: ribosomal RNA, 451 nt
Filed under: Boana cf. fasciata ABGD cluster 45
Lineage: Eukaryota; Metazoa; Chordata; Amphibia; Anura; Hylidae
Description: partial large subunit ribosomal RNA
Rfam family: Bacterial large subunit ribosomal RNA
Source: RNAcentral